This 435-nucleotide ribosomal RNA is filed under the name uncultured Roseburia sp. RNAcentral describes it as "partial 16S ribosomal RNA". It matches the Rfam family "Bacterial small subunit ribosomal RNA", at positions 341 to 792 of the family's 1533-position model. The record is from RNAcentral. Lineage: Bacteria; Bacillati; Bacillota; Clostridia; Lachnospirales; Lachnospiraceae.
ACGGGAGGCAGCAGUGGGGAAUAUUGCACAAUGGGCGAAAGCCUGAUGCAGCGACGCCGCGUGAGUGAAGAAGUAUUUCGGUAUGUAAAGCUCUAUCAGCAGGGAAGAAAAAUGACGGUACCUGACUAAGAAGCACCGGCUAAAUACGUGCCAGCAGCCGCGGUAAUACGUAUGGUGCAAGCGUUAUCCGGAUUUACUGGGUGUAAAGGGAGCGCAGGCGGUACGGCAAGUCUGAUGUGAAAGCCCGGGGCUCAACCCCGGUACUGCAUUGGAAACUGUCGAACUAGAGUAUCGGAGGGGUAAGCGGAAUUCCUAGUGUAGCGGUGAAAUGCGUAGAUAUUAGGAGGAACACCAGUGGCGAAGGCGGCUUACUGGACGAUAACUGACGCUGAGGCUCGAAAGCGUGGGGAGCAAACAGGAUUAGAUACCCUGGUA